Scylla paramamosain (green mud crab) is the source of this 1187-nucleotide long non-coding RNA. RefSeq lists it as uncharacterized. The record is from RefSeq and is a predicted model, not a curated record. The transcript has 3 exons. Lineage: Eukaryota; Metazoa; Arthropoda; Malacostraca; Decapoda; Portunidae.
GAAGCCCGGAGGGACAGAUUCCUUUGUACCGCCACCCAGUUAGGGUGUGACUACUCCAGGAAAGAUCGGACCUAUACAAUACAGACGCAGGUGUUGCUUGGUGACAGACCUCCUUAAGACCCCAAACACAAAACGUAAAAGAAAACGGACGCGUUUCAUACGGGACAAGCGGCUAGCGUUUCCGUGGUGGUCGCACCCGGCGCGGCGGCGAGUCAUCCGAGACAAGUACACAGAGAGGAGUGGCGCGUUGCCUGGCCGGAGUGUGGUUUCCUGCUAUGCCCUGCUCUCCGUCGCCUUAACGCCGCUCUGAGCUCUACAAAGAAGGGCUGAGCACCCUCCUCCCGCCCAGCCAUGAACCCUCACGUUCUGUUACCGCUUGCAACGUGCCUGUUGAUGGUGCUGCUCAUCACAGGGGCCACUGCCAUCGCUCCUCGAGGGCACUCGUUGGACUUCGACAUCUCUGUGACAUCUACGGGUCUCUUGCCGCACCAGCCACGAGUUUUGCGGCAAGUUCUCAGUUCAUCAGGAAUUCUGAAGGCAAGGCGAAAGAUGGCGAAGCAGAUGCGAGAGUUGAGGAGACUGGGAUGCAAGCCUAAGAAGAUCAAGGUGUAUAUGAAGGAAUAUAUUGGGGGAGAUAACGCAAUACUAGAUGCAGUGCCUCUUCCAGAGGUGAUAGUGGUUAAAAGGUGCAUUCAGUCUUGCAGUUUCUGUGGUAGCCCCCUUGGAUUGGAACAUCGACAGUGUUAUCCGGAAGGUGAAAGAAACAAGACCGUGAUCAUAAAGUACAACGGCACUAAUAACAUAAUUAGGCAUUACAGACUCAACAUUCCUGAGCAUAAGAAGUGUAAAUGUAAGUAAGCUGCAGAAACCCAUACUUAUGAUGACAGCAUGAACACACACACACACACACACACACACACACACACACACACACACACACACACACACACACACACACACACACACACACACACUAUAAUGUAUGUCGUUGGUGACAUGUGUUUGACAUAUCUGAAAUGUUUUGAUAACAGGGUAAUAAAUAUGUUUGUAGAAGGAUGUAAAGUGAAGUCGUGUCGUGUUUGUCUUUCAAUUAAUAAUAUGCUUCCGCGACCUACUCUCAAUUUCUUAACUCAUAGACAUACCUUACUAUAUGUAGCAAACAUGCAUUGCCAACAAGAAAAAUAAAA